This 245-nucleotide ribosomal RNA is filed under the name uncultured Prevotella sp. RNAcentral describes it as "partial 16S ribosomal RNA". It matches the Rfam family "Bacterial small subunit ribosomal RNA", at positions 524 to 768 of the family's 1533-position model. Lineage: Bacteria; Pseudomonadati; Bacteroidota; Bacteroidia; Bacteroidales; Prevotellaceae. The record is from RNAcentral.
UACGGAAGGUCCGGGCGUUAUCCGGAUUUAUUGGGUUUAAAGGGAGCGUAGGCCGUUCCUUAAGCGUGUUGUGAAAUGUAGGCGCCCAACGUCUGCACUGCAGCGCGAACUGGGGGACUUGAGUACGCGGGAAGCAGGCGGAAUUCGUCGUGUAGCGGUGAAAUGCUUAGAUAUGACGAAGAACUCCGAUUGCGAAGGCAGCCUGCUGUAGCGCCACUGACGCUGAUGCUCGAAAGCGUGGGUAU